Molecule: ribosomal RNA, 325 nt
Filed under: uncultured eukaryote
Lineage: Eukaryota
Description: partial 18S ribosomal RNA
Rfam family: Eukaryotic small subunit ribosomal RNA
Source: RNAcentral
CCCUUAGAUGUUCUGGGCCGCACGCGCGCUACACUGAAGGGAUCAGCGUGUUUUCCCUUCCCGAGAGGGACGGGUAACCCGCUGAACCCCCUUCGUGGUAGGGAUCGGAGCUUGCAAUUGUUCUCCGUGAACCAGGAAUUCCCAGUAAGCGCAAGUCAUAAGCUUGCGUUGAUUACGUCCCUGCCCUUUGUACACACCGCCCGUCGCUCCUACCGAUUGAGUGGUCCGGUGAGGCUUUGGGAUCUGAGCGGAAAGAGCGUUUCGCUGUUUCUGCUCGGAAAACUCAGUCGAACCUUAUCAUUUAGAGGAAGGAGAAGUCGUAACA